CCUCUGCCACUAGAACCAAAAAUUAAGCAAAGAAUAGCAAAUAAUUCAUUCCAAUUAGCUCCUAAGCAUCAUGUAUCAAGUACUUUGUUUAUUUCAUCAUUCAACGACCAAGCGAGAAUCAUCAUACCCAAAUCACAGUCUGUAAUCCCAAACGUAAUGAUAAUAAUGUGAAAUCCUCAUAAAUCAUAUCAAUGUUUAGAAAUC
Molecule: long non-coding RNA, 204 nt
Filed under: Gossypium barbadense (sea-island cotton)
Lineage: Eukaryota; Viridiplantae; Streptophyta; Magnoliopsida; Malvales; Malvaceae
Description: long non-coding RNA (GBAR_LNC020068)
Source: RNAcentral